CUAACAUUGUUAAGAUCUUGCAUCACUUUUAAUGUGUAUAACAGCUGGUCACCAGGUAGCUAUUGCUAUAAUUUCCAUCUUACAGAUGAGGAUGGCAAGGUGCUGAGAGCUUUCGGGAAGUGCACCAUUGGUGGUGGCACCCUUGCCCUCAAAGUACCGGGGCUUGGCGAGGGAUGAGAAGAAACUUGGAGGGAAUCAGAGGGCUUAGGGCGUGAUCAGGAGGACUGGACACAUCUCCUUCCUUCAGCAAGUACAGAACUGGCCGUUCCUCAGCCCAUCCCCAGGUGGAGCCUGCACCACGAGGAGGUCUCAAUGGAUGAUUAAAGCAACAGUAGAUGAUCACUCGAGCGCAGCCACCAUAGCCAGAGGACAAGUUGCAAUGCACACACAAGAGAGGACAGGCUGUACCAUCCACUCAGGAACUGUGACCACCUGUUCAUCUCCUGAGCAGCAACCGACUUGGAACACUAGACUGAUCCUGUUGACAUGAAAGACAUGUAAGGUUCAGUAGAUGCAGAAAGAAGAUGUCCUGGACUCCUCUUACCUGAUCAGAGGCACCAGCUUCAGGGAAACUCGGCUGCUGUGGACCGCCUCUCCAGGGGAAUUUUGUGGCCACCAAGGAGACAGACAGUUCCCUUGCACCUGAAUAAACCAACAUCACCAAGA
Heterocephalus glaber (naked mole-rat) is the source of this 666-nucleotide long non-coding RNA. RefSeq lists it as uncharacterized. The record is from RefSeq and is a predicted model, not a curated record. Lineage: Eukaryota; Metazoa; Chordata; Mammalia; Rodentia; Bathyergidae.